AGUAACACGUGAGCAAUCUGCCCUUCACUUUGGGAUAACUUCCGGAAACGGAAGCUAAUACCGAAUACGACCAUCACAGACAUCUGUUGAUGGUGGAAAGUUCCGGCGGUGAAGGAUGAGCUCGCGGCCUAUCAGCUUGUUGGUGAGGUAAUGGCCCACCAAGGCGACGACGGGUAGCCGGCCUGAGAGGGUGACCGGCCACACUGGGACUGAGACACGGCCCAG
Molecule: ribosomal RNA, 225 nt
Filed under: uncultured bacterium
Lineage: Bacteria
Description: partial 16S ribosomal RNA
Rfam family: Bacterial small subunit ribosomal RNA
Source: RNAcentral